Molecule: long non-coding RNA, 1330 nt
Filed under: Homo sapiens (human)
Lineage: Eukaryota; Metazoa; Chordata; Mammalia; Primates; Hominidae
Description: non-protein coding lnc-CDHR3-2:1
Source: RNAcentral
GUGAAGGUGAAGACAUUGAGCUGGAAUCCGGACAACUAUGUCCGCAAAACCAAGUUGGACUUACAGAUUAUUCCAAGAAACUGUGAUCCUACCUUACAUCCUUUUGAGGUCCUGCAAGAAUGUGUAAGAGUUUUAAAUGCUACCAAACUGGAAGGAGUAUUUGCAAAACCAUGCCUGGCUUGGCUGGAUGGUCACGAGAUGGAGUGAGUUGCUUGGCAAAGCAUCCAAAGAUCCUGGCUACUCUCCUUUCUAGGGGAUGUGAUGGAGCAGUUAGAAUUUGGAACCUGACUCAGCUGAAAUGUAUCCGUAUAAUACAAGCACAUGAAGGUUUUGUACAGGGAAUACGUGCUCACUUUUGUGGGACUUCUUUUUUCACUGUUGGUGAUGACAAAACUGUGAAGCAGUGGAAAAUGGAUGGGCCAGGCUACGGAGAGGAGGAAGGGCCAUUACAUACAAUAUUAGGAAAGACAGUGUAUACUGGGAUUGAUCAUCACUGGAAAGAAGCUGUUUUUGCCACAUGUGGACAGCAAGUAGACAUUUGGGAUGAACAAAUAACUAAUCCUAUAAGUUCAAUGACCUGGAGAUUUGACAGUAUAAGUAGUGGUAAAUUUAAUGCAAUUGAGACAUUUAUCUUGGGAAGUUGUGCUUCCGACAGGACUACAGUACUGUAUGAUAUGAGGCAAGCUACUCCUCUGAAAAAGGUUAUCUUAGAUAUGAGAACAAAUACAGUCUGUUGAAACCCUAUGGAAGCUUUCAUUUUUAUGGCAGCAAAUGAUGAUUAUAACUUAUUUACUUUUGAUAUGCGUGCACUCAUGUAAUGGUCCAUAUGGAUCAUGUAUCUGCAGUGCUUGAUGUGGAUUACUCUCCCACUGGGAAAGAGUUUGUGUCUGCUAGUUUCAAUAAAUCUAUUUGAAUCUUUCCUGUAGAUAAAAGUCAAAGCAGGGAGGUAUAUCACACAAAGUGAAAGCAACAUGUUAUGUGUGUAAAAUGGACUUCUGACAGCAAGUAUAUUAUGUAUGGAUCUGAUGAAAUGAACAGUUACCUAUGGAAAGCUAAUGCUUCUGCAAAAUUUGGUAUGCUUACAUCACAAGAAAAAGCAGCCAAGUAUUAUAACCAGAAACUGAAGGAGAAAUUUCAGCGUCAUCCUCAUAUACAACCGAUAGCUCGUCAUUGACAUCUACCAAAUUCUGUCUACAGCCCAAUUCAGGAACAGUGCAUCAUGAAAGAAGCUUGUCGAUGAGAGGAAGUGAAUCACGUUAAACACAGCAAGCCUGGAUCUGUGCCAAUUGUGUCAGAGAAGAAGAAACACAUAGUGGCAGUUGUAAAAUAA